AUUGAACGCUGGCGGCAGGCCUAACACAUGCAAGUCGAACGAGUGGCGGACGGGUGAGUAAUUUCUGGGAAACUGCCUGAUGGAGGGGGAUCACUACUGGAAACGGUAGCUACUACCGCAUACCAUCAGAUGUGCCCAGAUGGGAUUGGCUAGUUGGUGGGGUAACGGCUCACCAAGGCGACGAUCCCUAGCUGGUCUGAGAGGAUGACCAGCCACACUGGACCUGAGGCACGGUCCAGACUCCUACGGGAGGCAGCAGUGGGGAAUAUUGCACAAUGGGCGCAAUCCUGAUGCAGCCAUGCCGGGUGUAUGAAGUGGGCCUUCGGGUUGUAAGGUACUUUCAGCGGGGAGGCGUUACCCGCAGAAGAAGCACCGGCUAACUCCGUGCCAGCAGCCGCGGUAAUAC
RNAcentral lists this ribosomal RNA (406 nucleotides) under uncultured bacterium. RNAcentral describes it as "partial 16S ribosomal RNA". It matches the Rfam family "Bacterial small subunit ribosomal RNA", at positions 30 to 526 of the family's 1533-position model. The record is from RNAcentral.